RNAcentral lists this long non-coding RNA (517 nucleotides) under Capsicum annuum. RNAcentral's name for it is "long non-coding RNA (CANN_LNC003652)". Lineage: Eukaryota; Viridiplantae; Streptophyta; Magnoliopsida; Solanales; Solanaceae. The record is from RNAcentral.
CUAAAUAAAUUAAUUUUCUCUAUAAAUAAUUCUUCUUGCCCUUGAAACAACCAUCACUUUUCUUAUAGAUUCUCAUCUAAAAUCAACUUUCAAUUCUCAGUAUAUAUCUCUUUAUAAGAUGAAUUACAGUGCAAUAUCUUUUUUCAAUUUCUUUUCUCCAAAUAAUUCUUCUUGCACCUUCCAAUUUCUUUCUCCAAAUAACUCUUCUUGCACCUUGAAAUAUCAUCACUCUUCUUAUAUAUUUCUCAAUCCAAUGAUUUUUUUCUUAGUAUAUAUUUCCUUGGAGGAAAAAUUAUAGUGCAACAUCUUGUCAAAAAGAUUAUGUUUAAAAGUAAAAAAGUUGUUACAUGAACUUUCUCUUUCACUUUUGUUAAAGAAAUCACAUUUUAAAGAAAGAAGAAGAUGAUGAUGCAAAGUUGAGGAUGUCAUUGUUGCCGGGGAAAAAAUUAUUACAUGACCUUUUUCUUUCACUUUUGUUAAAGAAAUCACAUUUUAAAGAAUAAGAAGAAGAUGUAAA